GACGAACGCUGGCGGCGUGCUUAACACAUGCAAGUCGAACGUCAUCUUUGUGGAAAUUCUUUCGGGCAGGGAAAUGAUAUGAAAGUGGCGAACGGGUGAGUAACACGUGAGCAACCUACCUUACACAGGGGGAUAGCCGUUGGAAACGACGAUUAAUACCGCAUGAGACCACAGAAUCGCAUGAUAUAGGUGUCAAAGAUUUAUCGGUGUAAGACGGGCUCGCGUCUGAUUAGCUAGUUGGCAGGGUAAAGGCCUACCAAGGCGACGAUCAGUAGCCGGUCUGAGAGGAAGAACGGCCACACUGGAACUGAGACACGGUCCAAACUACUACAGGAGGCAGCAGUGGGGAAUAUAGCCAAACGGGGGGAAUCCUGAUGCAGCGACGCCGGGUGAGCGAAGAAGGUUUUCGAAUCGUAAAGCUCUGUCCUAUGAGAAGAUAAUGACGGUACCAAAGGAGGAAGCCCCGGCUAAAUACGUG
RNAcentral lists this ribosomal RNA (478 nucleotides) under uncultured bacterium. Its description in RNAcentral is "partial 16S ribosomal RNA". It matches the Rfam family "Bacterial small subunit ribosomal RNA", at positions 28 to 507 of the family's 1533-position model. The record is from RNAcentral.